RNAcentral lists this ribosomal RNA (587 nucleotides) under Aspergillus niger. RNAcentral describes it as "eukaryotic LSU rRNA". The stretch from base 204 to 357 matches the Rfam family "5.8S ribosomal RNA". Lineage: Eukaryota; Fungi; Ascomycota; Eurotiomycetes; Eurotiales; Aspergillaceae. The record is from RNAcentral.
CUGCGGAAGGAUCAUUACCGAGUGCGGGUCCUUUGGGCCCAACCUCCCAUCCGUGUCUAUUGUACCCUGUUGCUUCGGCGGGCCCGCCGCUUGUCGGCCGCCGGGGGGGCGCCUCUGCCCCCCGGGCCCGUGCCCGCCGGAGACCCCAACACGAACACUGUCUGAAAGCGUGCAGUCUGAGUUGAUUGAAUGCAAUCAGUUAAAACUUUCAACAAUGGAUCUCUUGGUUCCGGCAUCGAUGAAGAACGCAGCGAAAUGCGAUAACUAAUGUGAAUUGCAGAAUUCAGUGAAUCAUCGAGUCUUUGAACGCACAUUGCGCCCCCUGGUAUUCCGGGGGGCAUGCCUGUCCGAGCGUCAUUGCUGCCCUCAAGCCCGGCUUGUGUGUUGGGUCGCCGUCCCCCUCUCCGGGGGGACGGGCCCGAAAGGCAGCGGCGGCACCGCGUCCGAUCCUCGAGCGUAUGGGGCUUUGUCACAUGCUCUGUAGGAUUGGCCGGCGCCUGCCGACGUUUUCCAACCAUUCUUUCCAGGUUGACCUCGGAUCAGGUAGGGAUACCCGCUGAACUUAAGCAUAUCAAUAAGCGGAGGAA